Molecule: transfer RNA, 91 nt
Filed under: compost metagenome
Description: tRNA-Thr
Source: RNAcentral
UGGCGUUGGUGCUGGCGUUGGUGCCGGUGCUGGUGCUGGCGUUGGUGCCGGUGCUGGUGCUGGCGUUGGUGCCGGCUCCGGCGCCGCCAGC